AGAGUUUGAUCAUGGCUCAGAUUGAACGCUGGCGGCAGGCCUAACACAUGCAAGUCGAGCGGAAACGAGCUAUCUGAACCUUCGGGGAACGAUAACGGCGUCGAGCGGCGGACGGGUGAGUAAUGCCUGGGAAAUUGCCCUGAUGUGGGGGAUAACCAUUGGAAACGAUGGCUAAUACCGCAUAAUAGCUUCGGCUCAAAGAGGGGGACCUUCGGGCCUCUCGCGUCAGGAUAUGCCCAGGUGGGAUUAGCUAGUUGGUGAGGUAAGGGCUCACCAAGGCGACGAUCCCUAGCUGGUCUGAGAGGAUGAUCAGCCACACUGGAACUGAGACACGGUCCAGACUCCUACGGGAGGCAGCAGUGGGGAAUAUUGCACAAUGGGCGCAAGCCUGAUGCAGCCAUGCCGCGUGUAUGAAGAAGGCCUUCGGGUUGUAAAGUACUUUCAGCAGUGAGGAAGGUGGUGUACUUAAUACGUGCAUCAUUUGACGUUAGCUGCAGAAGAAGCACCGGCUAACUCCGUGCCAGCAGCCGCGGUAAU
This 537-nucleotide ribosomal RNA is filed under the name uncultured Gammaproteobacteria bacterium. RNAcentral describes it as "bacterial SSU rRNA". It matches the Rfam family "Bacterial small subunit ribosomal RNA", at positions 8 to 524 of the family's 1533-position model. Lineage: Bacteria; Pseudomonadati; Pseudomonadota; Gammaproteobacteria. The record is from RNAcentral.